CAGCAGCCGCGGUAAUUCCAGCUCCAAUAGCGUAUAUUAAAGUUGCUGCAGUUAAAAAGCUCGUAGUUGAAUUUCGGGACCAUCAUGUCGGUCGUGCCUCGGUACGUACUGGUAUUGUUGGUUUCUCCCUUCUGACGAACCAUGAUGUCAUUUAUUUGGUGUUGUGGGAAAUCAGGACUGUUACUUUGAAAAAAUUAGAGUGUCUAAAGCAGGCUCACGCUUGAAUACAUUAGCAUGGAAUAAUGAAAUAGGACGUUUGAUUCUAUUUUGUUGGUUUUUAGGAUCGACGUAAUGAUUAAUAGGGAUAGUUGGGGGCAUUAGUAUUCAAUUGUCAGAGGUGAAAUUCUUGGAUUUAUUGAAGACUAACUACUGCGAAAGCAUUUGCCAAGGAUGUUUUCAUUAAUCAAGAACGAAAGUUAGGGGAUCGAAGACGAUCAGAUACCGUCGUAGUCUUAACCAUAAACUAUGCCGACUAGGGAUCGGAUGAUGUUAAUUUUUUAAUGACUCAUUCGGCGCCUUACG
This 522-nucleotide ribosomal RNA is filed under the name uncultured Glomus. RNAcentral describes it as "SSU rRNA". It matches the Rfam family "Eukaryotic small subunit ribosomal RNA", at positions 568 to 1092 of the family's 1831-position model. The record is from RNAcentral. Lineage: Eukaryota; Fungi; Glomeromycota; Glomeromycetes; Glomerales; Glomeraceae.